GAUGAAGAACGUAGCGAAAUGCGAUACGUAAUGUGAAUUGCAAAUUCAGUGAAUCAUCGAGUCUUUGAACGCACAUUGCGCCCCCUGGUAUUCCGGGGGGCAUGCCUGUCCGAGCGUCAUUGCUGCCCUCAAGCACGGCUUGUGUGUUGGGCCCCGUCCUCCGAUCCCGGGGGACGGGCCCGAAAGGCAGCGGCGGCACCGCGUCCGGUCCUCGAGCGUAUGGGGCUUUGUCACCCGCUCUGUAGGCCCGGCCGGCGCUUGCCGAUCAACCCAAAUUUUUAUCCAGGUUGACCUCGGAUCAGGUAGGGAUACCCGCUGAACGUAAGCAUAUCAAUAAGCGGAGGA
This 345-nucleotide unclassified non-coding RNA is filed under the name soil metagenome. Its description in RNAcentral is "partial contains 5.8S ribosomal RNA, internal transcribed spacer 2, and large subunit ribosomal RNA". The stretch from base 1 to 119 matches the Rfam family "5.8S ribosomal RNA", at positions 35 to 154 of the family's 154-position model. The record is from RNAcentral.